GAUGAACGCUAGCGGCAGGCCUAACACAUGCAAGUCGAGGGGUAGAGGAAGCUUGCUUCCUUGAGACCGGCGCACGGGUGCGUAACGCGUAUGCAAUCUACCUUUUACAGAGGGAUAGCCCAGAGAAAUUUGGAUUAAUACCUCAUAGUAUUUUCGAAUGGCAUCAUUUGAUUAUUAAAGUUCCAACGGUAAAAGAUGAGCAUGCGUCCUAUUAGCUAGAUGGUAAGGUAACGGCUUACCAUGGCAACGAUAGGUAGGGGUCCUGAGAGGGAGAUCCCCCACACUGGUACUGAGACACGGACCAGACUCCUACGGGAGGCAGCAGUGAGGAAUAUUGGACAAUGGGCGCAAGCCUGAUCCAGCCAUGCCGCGUGCAGGAAGACGCAUCUAUGGUGUGUAAACUGCUUUUGUACGGGAAGAAACACCGCUACGUGUAGCGGCUUGACGGUACCGUAAGAAUAAGGAUCGGCUAACUCCGUGCCAGCAGCCGCGGUAA
RNAcentral lists this ribosomal RNA (496 nucleotides) under uncultured bacterium. Its description in RNAcentral is "partial 16S ribosomal RNA". It matches the Rfam family "Bacterial small subunit ribosomal RNA", at positions 28 to 523 of the family's 1533-position model. The record is from RNAcentral.